Molecule: non-coding RNA, 538 nt
Organism: Xyrichtys novacula (pearly razorfish)
Lineage: Eukaryota; Metazoa; Chordata; Actinopteri; Labriformes; Labridae
Source: the annotation of a GenBank genome assembly
CCAGGGUGGAUGCAGCUGGGGUCAGGCAGUUCCGCAGCAGACCGUUUGCAGCAUUAGUCCAGUGGCAGCUAAAAGACUCAGAGACACUCAGAGAGACAGAAAACUGGUCAGUGACUUAUAUGGUACAUAAAGAUCUAAAGAGGAGAUAGAGACAGACUCUAGCUCAGUGUGCCAGAUAGCCCCGGCAGUCUAGGCCUAUAGCAGCAUAACUAAGAGCUGGUUCAAAUCAGCCCUGACUAUAGGCUUUAUCAAAGAGGAACGUUUUGAGUCUACUCUUGAAAGUUGAGAGUGUGUCUGCCCCCCGAACCUCGAGCGGUAAAUGAUUCCAGAGGAGAGGUGCCUGGUAGCUGAAAGCUCUUCCUCCAAUACUACUUUUAGAGACAUUUGGUACAACGAGCAGACCUGCAGACUGUGAGCGUAACGGUCUAGAUGGAAAGUACGGUAUAACUAGCUCGUCGAGAUAUGAUGGAGCCUGGCCAUUAAGCGCUUUAUAUGUCACAAGGAGGAUUUUAAACUCAAUUCUAUAUUUAAUAGGGAG